UCAACUUUUUUUUUCAACAGUACUGUGAAUCUCCUGUCCUGUUUUCUAUCCACAUUUGAAUGAGUCUGUUAGAAAUGUAGAGUCUUUCUCUGCUUCCUUCCUGUACCAAGGAAAUAAUUCAAAGCCCUGUCAGUAUAACUGUACUUGAUAACAGCUAUUUUUCUCUCCCAGACAUUCAGAAUUGAAGGACUCUGCCCCACAUCCUUUUUUUUUGGCCACUCACCCCUGUUGAAGCAAUGAAGCUGAGUUACUGGAUAAUUUUCAGAAUUUGCAAUUUAUUUUUAGAGUCUAUAGGAAACUUGAGAACCAGAAUGACCCUCUUUUCCUUCCCCAGACUUGUGAUGGAUCCUUCCAGAAACCCUUGGACUCACAGUGUCAGCAUCUGUGACAAAUCUUAGAUAAAUAUAUUAAUAAGAAACAUCCUUUUUUUUUGCCAACUUCCUCAGAAUUAUACCUAGCGAAUAAAAGUGUAUGAAUUAACAUCUCUGUCAGGAGCGUCCAAUCACGUCAUCGCUAGGAACAGAAAAUAGAAGCCAUGAAAAUAUAGAGUUCUACAAUAAGGCUGCCCUGACUUAAGUACCAAAGUUUUCCUGAAACAAUCUUAUUGUUUCAUGAGCCAUUGAAACUCCAGCUUCUUGAAUUAUUGUUAAUGUAUAUAAACUUAAGAACACUAUUGUGGGAUCUCAAGAAACUUAACAGAAGACCAUGGGAGAAGGGAAGGGGAAAAAAUAGUUACAGAGAGGGAGGAAGGCAAACCAUAAGAGACUCUUAAAUACAGACAACAAACUGAGGGUUGAUGGGGGGGUUUGGUGGGGGAGAGGGGGAGGUGGGUGAUGGGCAUUGAGGAGGGUACCUGUUGGGAAGAACACUCUUGUGGUUAUGUUAAAAAGGAAUCUCUUUCUGGGGCGCCUGGGUGGCUCAGUCGGUUAAGCGUCCAGCUUCAGCUCAGGUCAUGAUCUCACGGUCCGGUCCGUGAGUUCAAGCCCCGCAUCGGGCUCUGUGCUUACCGUUCAGAGCCUGGAGCCUGUUUCGGAUUCUGUGUCUACCUCUCUCUCUGACCCUCCCCCGUUCAUGCUCUGUCUCUCUCUGUCUCAAAAAUAAAUAAAUGUUAAAAAAAAAAAUUAAAAAAAAAAAAAAGGAAUCUCUUUCUUUUUGAGUACUCCACUUCAAAUUUUUAACUCCACACUCAACUUGAAGUUGUCCCUGCUCAGUGAGAUGUCUCCCUUUCUGUAUUUGCUCUUGCUCCCCGCAACAACAGAUGGCUGUUUGUUAUUCAGUGCUUGCUAGGCUUACUGUGUGGAUAGGUAGCCUCUGUUAUCUUGGUGCAGUGUCAAUCUUAGACUGAUCCAUGUACCUGGUCCUUGGAUCUUGGAUUUUCUCAGCAUUAGGACCUCUGCUCCUGUGUCAGCCAAACACCACAUGUUUCUCUAUGCGUCUUGUGUAAGAAAAUGUUCUGCCUCUUCCUCAUUGUGUAAGCAGAGUUAGGGGGUCCUCAGAAAAAGAAAGAUGAAGCAUAGCUUUCAAGACACAAGAGAAAUCAUUUCAGGCCCGCAUCUAUUUUUGUGAUUUAUGCCCAACAGGACUACUUGCCCAAGCAUCCUGCUUGCAGAAUUUCCGAAAAGGUGUUGGAAAUUAAAAAGAAAUGCAAAAACCUCAGUAGUUAAAGAUUUUAAGGAAACAAAGGGAAUGCAAAAACUAGCAGUCUCUCCAAAGCCCAACAUAUCAGAUAUGAUAAAUCAGUAGUAAAACUCCCAGUGCUUUUUCAAAAGUAAGGAUUGACCUAACACACAUUCUUGAAUCAUUUUUGCAGGAUUUAAGCCCCUUUGAGCCUCAAACACCAGGCUAACUGGAGCAGAGAAUUGAAGAUACUGACCCUUGCUGGCCUUCAUGACUUCAAUCAACUAGGACCUGGACUCUGCCGUCUUAGGAAUUUUGUAGAAACUAGAAUCUUCAUUGGAUCUUUGCUGAAGAAGGAACAGGCAAGUUCCAGAAGGGAUCUUUGCUGAUUCUGUGAUUUCAGCUAGAUUCCCAUGAUUGGGAAUCAUGGGAGUAAAUCUGGAUCCAAGAAGAAUAAAUCCCAAAGAAACACUGCAAGGCCGAGGAAUCAGGGUGAUGUUGGCCUGGUUCAUCACCCUUUGAACUGCAUCCUGAAGGCUCCAGUGCGAUACAUCCAUCUCAACAGAGAAUCAGGAUGGCUACCCAAAACAAGAUGCUUGCAGCUGGACUGAGCAAAAAGGUCUAGCGGGGUCCUUAUCCAGAAACAUCCAAGAGCACGUCACCAUCGUUAGCCACAAUCAUCCUAAGGGAAAUCACCCAUCCCGUGUGAAUGUCCUGGCCUGUGACAAGGGUUGUGUGAAGAGGUAGGACAAGCACACAAGAUCCAAUUAGUCACCUUUUCCCUUUUUAAUAAACCGGUAUACAAAGUAUCUAGUUGGGCCAAAACGUAGGUAUUUUUGAUUUGGUAAACUUGAUAAACUAUGCAUACAACUAGCAGUUAUCGACUUCUCUAAACACUUUACAUAAAUCAACUCAUUUCAUCCUAUCAACUCUGGGAGGUAGCUAACAUUAUUCUUAUUUUUCCUGAGGAGCAAAUGGAGGUACAGAAGUUAAUUAAGCUCCCAGGAUCAUAGAGCAGAGUCCGGCUUCGAAUCUAGGCAGUGCACCUGAUGAAUGCACAAACCUGACCAGCUUAGAAUACUGCCUCUCGGGCGGUGUAAACCUUGCCAAGGGGGGGGGGGGGGGUGGUCAGCAGACCAGCAGCAGCA
Panthera uncia (snow leopard) is the source of this 2765-nucleotide long non-coding RNA. RefSeq lists it as uncharacterized. The transcript is spliced from 4 exons. Lineage: Eukaryota; Metazoa; Chordata; Mammalia; Carnivora; Felidae. The record is from RefSeq and is a predicted model, not a curated record.